This 428-nucleotide ribosomal RNA is filed under the name Chloroflexota bacterium. Its description in RNAcentral is "Chloroflexi bacterium partial 16S ribosomal RNA". It matches the Rfam family "Bacterial small subunit ribosomal RNA", at positions 355 to 776 of the family's 1533-position model. The record is from RNAcentral. Lineage: Bacteria; Bacillati; Chloroflexota.
UGGGGAAUAUUGCACAAUGGGCGCAAGCCUGAUGCAGCCAUGCCGCGUGUAUGAAGAAGGCCUUCGGGUUGUAAAGUACUUUCAGCGGGGAGGAAGGCGAUAAGGUUAAUAACCUUGCCGAUUGACGUUACCCGCAGAAGAAGCACCGGCUAACUCCGUGCCAGCAGCCGCGGUAAUACGGAGGGUGCAAGCGUUAAUCGGAAUUACUGGGCGUAAAGCGCACGCAGGCGGUCUGUCAAGUCGGAUGUGAAAUCCCCGGCUCAACCGGGGAGGGUCAUUGGAAACUGGGAGACUUGAGUGCAGAAGAGGAGAGUGGAAUUCCAUGUGUAGCGGUGAAAUGCGUAGAUAUAUGGAGGAACACCAGUGGCGAAGGCGGCUCUCUGGUCUGUAACUGACGCUGAGGCUCGAAAGCGUGGGGAGCAAACAGG